This is a non-coding RNA of Acanthosepion pharaonis, 100 nucleotides long. Lineage: Eukaryota; Metazoa; Mollusca; Cephalopoda; Sepiida; Sepiidae. The record is from the annotation of a GenBank genome assembly.
CGUUGAAACACCGGCUCCCAUAUGAUCACCGAAGUUAAGCAACGUCGAACAUGCUCAGUACCUAGAUGGGUAACCAUUUGUGAAUAUUAGAUACUGUAAG